RNA transcript from Triplophysa dalaica, 1894 nucleotides. RefSeq lists it as uncharacterized. The transcript has 3 exons. The record is from RefSeq and is a predicted model, not a curated record. NCBI's taxonomy places the organism in Eukaryota, Metazoa, Chordata, Actinopteri, Cypriniformes, Nemacheilidae.
GAUUUAAAGUGAUAAAAUGCGUCAUUCAUUCAAGGAGUGAUGAAAUGGCAACUUGAAGGUCACCAAUCGCAAACCUUGUCACAUUUUUUUACACUUAGGCUACACAACCUUGAAAACAUCAUUCAUUUUCACACGGUUUCUAAAUGUAUCACAUAAAAUUAAUUUUGAAUUCACCUUAUUCUAAACCAUGAGUAUCUGCAACGCUGAUUCACACAGUUCAGGGAAAUCACUUCACACCUGAAAAAGCUCUCGUUUGGGCGUUCAGGAGUCUCAGGUCACCCGUGGGAGGGGUGUUGUAGCUGGUAAAGGUGACAUGAGCUCGAGCCCACGGGGCAAUAUGCAGUGUGAGAUAAAACGAGCUGCAGCGCAAAUCAUGACGCGUUUGGCGACUCCAAAAGCCAUUCAUAAGAGAAAGUCACAUUGAUGCUUCCAUUUGGAAAGAAAAAAUAUUUUUGUGUUGUAAGUACUAUAAAACUGUAUAUAUUUCUUUCUGACAUCAUUUGUUUAUCAAACGCUUUUAAAAAACACGAAGUGCAAUAGAGGACAUUGGAAACGUUUUACGCAAAAGAGAAUCAGGAUUUGCUUGCCAGCAAUAAACCCAAAUUGCACACAAAAACCUAAAAUUGGCAUAAUAGUUGCAAAAGAAGAGCGAAAUUGGAAAUUUGAACAACUUCUUGUCGACCUGAAUGGAAAUGAAGGUGUCGCCCGCGCUCGUGCUAUGCAUGUCUGUCACCGUUCACCUCGCGCUGCCUCAGCAUCAACUGCGCGUGCGCCCUAUGCCUAGCGACCACCUGCCGGUACCGGAUCUGCAGGAAGACCCGAACUCGGCGCUCGAACCGGGAGAGAGGGAUUCGCUUCCUCACUUUUUGAGGCGGAAACUCGGCAGCAGUUUUGAUCCCCUUUAUUCCUCUAUUGGCCCACCGACGCGGGGUAACGGGUCCCAGGUCACGCAAGGGGGGAUCGGUGUCAUAGGACCGAUGCCUCGUGAAUUUCACGAGCUUGAUCUCGCGGAGCUCAACGUGGGGCCGAAAACGGAGCGCAGGGUCCGGCGGUGGUUGUGGUCGUACACCUGGUGUUCGGUGCUUUGGGUGUGGAAAGAUCUGGGCGUUCGUUUCUGGCCACGAUACCUCAAGGAAGGACGUUGCACGAACGAACGGUCUUGUUCUUUACCGGAAGGCAUGUUUUGCAAACCGAUAGAGUCGGCGAGCGUCUCACUGCUCCGAUGGCACUGCCAGGGCUCUCGCGCCCUCAAGAGAUGCGCAUGGAUCCGUGCGCGCUACCCGGUGAUUUCACGAUGCGGGUGCGCGUGCUGAAGUGUCCGAGUUAAGGAGGCUUAACCUUACUAACAGAAAGCAGAUUUGUGAUUGUGCAUUAUUUGACGUAAUUGUUUGUUUGUUUGUUUGUUUAUUUGAUGAAGAAGGGCAAAUAAAAGUGUGAAUUAAAAUGCAGAUGAGUUGAAGUUUUUUGUGUGCUCCUUCAUUUGGAUUAUUGAUAUAGGUUUAAUAUGACUUUUUAAAUCAUUUAAAUAAUAGAAAAGAAAUCAACGAUAUUAUUAUAUGCACAUCAUGAAAAAGUGUUGUUGUUUGUUAAAACCACUUGUUUUGUGUAAGGUUGUUUAUGACUGUUUGUUUCUCUCACUUCUCCUUUUUUCUACGUGUUUCUCUCUCUCUUCCGUCACAUCUGUUUUCUUCCUCACAUCUUCUUUGACCGUCAUUUCUCAUUCACACGUUUCCGCGAACACAAAGAUGAACCAAACGGAGAUCAGUGUUACAGAUCUGUUCAUCACCAGACCUGAGCCCAGGCCAGUUAAAAACACCACACACAGAACAGUGUCUCGGCCUGACUGGAUACUUUACACAGUUCCUGCCUCAGCAUUUCUCAUUGGGAUUUUUCU